CCUACGGGUGGCAGCAGUGGGGAAUAUUGGGCAAUGGACGCAAGCCUGACCCAGCAACGCCGCGUGAAGGAUGAAGGCUUUCGGGUUGUACACUUCUUUUCUCAGGGACGAAGAAAGUGACGGUACCUGAGGAAUAAGCCUCGGCUAACUACGUGCCAGCAGCCGCGGUAAUACGUAGGUGGCAAGCGUUAUCCGGAAUUAUUGGGUUUAAAGGGUGCGCAGGAGGUGGUGCAAGUCAGCGGUAAAAUCGCGGGGCCCAACCCCGAACUGCCGUUUAAACUGCAUGGCUUGAGUGCGCGAGAAGCAUGCGGAAUGCGUGGUGUAGCGGUGAAAUGCAUAGAUAUCACGCAGAACUCCGAUUGCGAAGGCAGCAUACCGGCGCGCAACUGACGCUGAUGCACGAAAGCGUGGGUAUCGAACAGGAUUAGAUACCCGUGUAGUC
RNAcentral lists this ribosomal RNA (442 nucleotides) under uncultured bacterium. Its description in RNAcentral is "partial 16S ribosomal RNA". It matches the Rfam family "Bacterial small subunit ribosomal RNA", at positions 338 to 795 of the family's 1533-position model. The record is from RNAcentral.